AUUGAACGCCGGCGGCAGGCUUAACACAUGCAAGUCGAGCGGGGUGAUGGUGCUUGCACUAUCACUUAGCGGCGGACGGGUGAGUAAUGCUUAGGAAUCUGCCUAUUAGUGGGGGACAACAUCUCGAAAGGGAUGCUAAUACCGCAUACGUCCUACGGGAGAAAGCAGGGGAUCACUUGUGACCUUGCGCUAAUAGAUGAGCCUAAGUCGGAUUAGCUAGUUGGUGGGGUAAAGGCCUACCAAGGCGGCGAUCUGUAGCGGGUCUGAGAGGAUGAUCCGCCACACUGGGACUGAGACACGGCCCAGACUCCUACGGGAGGCAGCAGUGGGGAAUAUUGGACAAUGGGGGGAACCCUGAUCCAGCCAUGCCGCGUGUGUGAAGAAGGCCUUAUGGUUGUAAAGCACUUUAAGCGAGGAGGAGGCUCUUUUGGUUAAUACCCAAGAUGAGUGGACGUUACUCGCAGAAUAAGCACCGGCUAACUCUGUGCCAGCCGCCGCGGUAA
Molecule: ribosomal RNA, 503 nt
Filed under: uncultured bacterium
Lineage: Bacteria
Description: partial 16S ribosomal RNA
Rfam family: Bacterial small subunit ribosomal RNA
Source: RNAcentral